AUUGAACGCUGGCGGCAUGCCUUACACAUGCAAGUCGAACGGCAGCACGGGUGCUUGCACCUGGUGGCGAGUGGCGAACGGGUGAGUAAUACAUCGGAACAUGUCCUGUAGUGGGGGAUAGCCCGGCGAAAGCCGGAUUAAUACCGCAUACGAUCCACGGAUGAAAGCGGGGGACCUUCGGGCCUCGCGCUAUAGGGUUGGCCGAUGGCUGAUUAGCUAGUUGGUGGGGUAAAGGCCUACCAAGGCGACGAUCAGUAGCUGGUCUGAGAGGACGACCAGCCACACUGGGACUGAGACACGGCCCAGACUCCUACGGGAGGCAGCAGUGGGGAAUUUUGGACAAUGGGCGAAAGCCUGAUCCAGCAAUGCCGCGUGCGUGAAGAAGGCCUUCGGGUUGUAAAGCACUUUUGUCCGGAAAGAAAUCCUUGGCUCUAAUACAGUCGGGGGAUGACGGUACCGGAAGAAUAAGCACCGGCUAACUACGUG
RNAcentral lists this ribosomal RNA (486 nucleotides) under uncultured bacterium. Its description in RNAcentral is "partial 16S ribosomal RNA". It matches the Rfam family "Bacterial small subunit ribosomal RNA", at positions 30 to 507 of the family's 1533-position model. The record is from RNAcentral.